This 326-nucleotide long non-coding RNA is filed under the name Mytilus galloprovincialis (Mediterranean mussel). The record is from RNAcentral. Lineage: Eukaryota; Metazoa; Mollusca; Bivalvia; Mytilida; Mytilidae.
UAUCAAUAUGUAUGUUCAGCUCUAAACCAUUUCAAAAACCAAUUAAUUAAAUCCGAUUUAAUGAAAAUAUCUGUCACUGUUACACGUUUGCGUUGAAUAAAAGGAAUAUGUAAAUACUUCCAUCUUUACUAUAUCCAAAAACUUAACUGUAUAUCACUACAUUAGAUCAGACACUAUAAUUGCAUUCACAGAACACUUGUUUAUAAAAACAAAAUCCUCCAAACUACGUUAUUGCAGGCACUGGUUUUGAAAUGAAAAUAAGUAAAAUGUUUCAUGCUUUUUAUAUAGAGGAAAAGAAGUUGCUUAAUAUAGCAAAUGAAUAGCAU